Molecule: ribosomal RNA, 500 nt
Filed under: uncultured bacterium
Lineage: Bacteria
Description: partial 16S ribosomal RNA
Rfam family: Bacterial small subunit ribosomal RNA
Source: RNAcentral
AUUGAACGCUGGCGGCAUGCCUUACACAUGCAAGUCGAACGGCAGCACGGGAGCAAUCCUGGUGGCGAGUGGCGAACGGGUGAGUAAAGUAUCGGAACGUGCCCAGUCGUGGGGGAUAACGUAGCGAAAGUUACGCUAAUACCGCAUACGAUCUAUGGAUGAAAGCGGGGGAUCGCAAGACCUCGCGCGAUUGGAGCGGCCGAUAUCAGAUUAGGUAGUUGGUGGGGUAAAGGCUCACCAAGCCGACGAUCUGUAGCUGGUCUGAGAGGACGAACAGCCACACUGGGAAUGAGACACGGCCCAGACUCCUACGGGAGGCAGCAGUGGGGAAUUUUGGACAAUGGGCGAAAGCCUGAUCCAGCCAUGCCGCGUGCAGGAUGAAGGCCUUCGGGUUGUAAACUGCUUUUGUACGGAACGAAAAGGUUUGGCCUAAUAAGCUGAGCUCAUGACGGUACCGUAAGAAUAAGCACCGGCUAACUACGUACCAGCAGCCGCCGUAA